AAUUUAUCAAAAAGUAUAAAUUUGGGAACUUGAUUUGGACAAUCAUGCUACAACUAUCGCCCUGGGCGAUGGGGGCCCCAGUUGUGACUAUUAUUACCUGAUACUGUCUUCUAAUAUUGUGCAAAAAUCAAAUCAAAUAAUUCAGGAAGUCAUAGGCAGAUUAUUCAAUAUAUGACAAAAAACAGCGUUGGUAGCAGACAUAAUCACAAUGUCGUUUUGAACACUGUGUCUCUGAAAGAAAUACCAGAGGAUCACUUCCUCUGAAACACAUGUAAAAUGUAUUACUGAAUUGGUACGUCAAUACAUUUCUUUUCCUCUUGGGUUAUGUGCGCACUCAGCUUGAAAUGAGCUGCCAUUUGGCAACUUUGGGCCGUUUUACCUGCUGGCUAAACACUCUGCACUAUGAUUCUUUUAAAUGUACUGAAAACAAAGUGUUUCUGGUGAGUUGUUCUACUGCUGUGAUCUGAUCCAAUUUCUCUUCUUAACCCCACAGCAGGAGAACCCAGUCAGAGGGGAAAUAGUGCUCUCAUCCAAUGACCUCCAGCUGGUGCUCCAAGUGGAACGUAAUCAUGAGCUGUUGGGUCCCGACUUCACAGAGACCUACUACACAGGAGACGGGCAGCCGGUGACUGUAGCCAACCGAAAUUACACUGUAAGUAUGAAGCAACAGGCUAAAGUAAGUCUCUAGGUUUAUAAUUGGGUCCCCCACCCUUCUAAAUGCUUGUUACUAGCAAACUCCUUUUUUUAGUUUUUUUUUUUUUUUUAUCCCAUUAUCACUUUCUUUCUCAUGAGGACAUUCAUUGACUUCAUUCAUGUCUUAACCCUAAACCAAUGCUGUAAUCCUGAAACACCGUUAUUAGUAUACCAUUUUACCAGUGCUUGAUCGAGUCAUUUAUAUUUCCCUUCUAUAUCCCCAAGUUUAAAGCAGUUUUGGCAUUUCAUGUGGAAUUUAAGGACAUUAACAAGGAUUAUUUGUUUUGAGAGUGCUCUAUAAUUGGAUGAAUGCCUAAGUCUAUACAACUUUGAUCAUUCCACAAAAGCAUAUUCUAAAUAAAUAC
Long non-coding RNA from Gasterosteus aculeatus (three-spined stickleback), 1058 nucleotides. The record is from Ensembl. Lineage: Eukaryota; Metazoa; Chordata; Actinopteri; Perciformes; Gasterosteidae.